This 586-nucleotide ribosomal RNA is filed under the name Amanita griseofolia. RNAcentral describes it as "eukaryotic LSU rRNA". It matches the Rfam family "Eukaryotic large subunit ribosomal RNA", at positions 87 to 658 of the family's 3401-position model. The record is from RNAcentral. Lineage: Eukaryota; Fungi; Basidiomycota; Agaricomycetes; Agaricales; Amanitaceae.
CUGCGAGUGAGAGGGAAAAGCUCAAAUUUAAAAUCUGGCAGCAUUUUGCUGUCCGAGUUGUAACCUAGAGAAGUGUAACCUGUGCUGGACCGUGUAUAAGUUUCCUGGAAUGGAGCAUCACAGAGGGUGAGAAUCCCGUCUUUGACAUGGACUACCAGUGCAUUGUGGUUGUGCUCUCAACGAGUCGAGUUGUUUGGGAAUGCAGCUCUAAAUGGGUGGUAAAUUCCAUCUAAAGCUAAAUAUUGGCGAGAGACCGAUAGCGAACAAGUACCGUGAGGGAAAGAUGAAAAGAACUUUGGAAAGAGAGUUAAACAGUAUGUGAAAUUGUUGAAAGGGAAACGUUUGAAGUCAGUCGCGUUAGCUGGGGAUCAGCCUGACAUUGUUGGGUGCACUUCCUGGUUGACGGGCCAACAUCAGUUUUGACUGCCAGAAAAAGGCCAAGGGAAUGUGGCACCUUUGGGUGUGUUAUAGCCUUUGGUCAUAUAUGGUGGUUGGGACUGAGGAACGCAGUGUGCCGAAAGGCCGGGUUUCGACCACGUUCACACUGAGGAUGUUGGCAUAAUGGCUUUAAACGACCCGUCUUGAA